UACGGAGGGUGCAAGCGUUAUCCGGAUUCACUGGGUUUAAAGGGUGCGUAGGUGGGUUGGUAAGUCAGUGGUGAAAUCUCCAGGCUUAACUUGGAAACUGCCAUUGAUACUAUCAAUCUUGAAUACCGUGGAGGUCAGCGGAAUAUGUCAUGUAGCGGUGAAAUGCUUAGAUAUGACAUAGAACACCAAUUGCGAAGGCAGCUGGCUACACGAAUAUUGACAUUGAUGCACGAAAGCGUGGGGAUCAAACAGG
RNAcentral lists this ribosomal RNA (253 nucleotides) under uncultured bacterium. RNAcentral describes it as "partial 16S ribosomal RNA". It matches the Rfam family "Bacterial small subunit ribosomal RNA", at positions 524 to 776 of the family's 1533-position model. The record is from RNAcentral.